Molecule: ribosomal RNA, 254 nt
Filed under: uncultured bacterium
Lineage: Bacteria
Description: partial 16S ribosomal RNA
Rfam family: Bacterial small subunit ribosomal RNA
Source: RNAcentral
UACGUAGGGUGCGAGCGUUGUCCGGAAUUAUUGGGCGUAAAGAGCUCGUAGGCGGUCUGUCGCGUCGAUCGUGAAAACUUGGGGCUUAACCCUGAGCUUGCGGUCGAUACGGGCAUGACUGGAGUUCGGCAGGGGAGACUGGAAUUCCUGGUGUAGCGGUGAAAUGCGCAGAUAUCAGGAGGAACACCGGUGGCGAAGGCAGCUCGCUGGAACGGUACUGACGCUGAGGCGCGAAAGCGUGGGGAGCAAACAGG